ACACUAUGGCUCACUCUGGAGGACAAGAGGACAAGAUGAGUCAUGUUGCCAGCCAACCUGGGACUUUCGCAUGGUUCACACUGGAAGUAUUCCAGAGGUAUCAAGCUGGUUUCAGGAGGUCUGAUGAAUACCAAACAUCUUUUCGGCACCCCACCUUCGUGUGACCUCCGGGCUGCCAUCGAUCAUCAAAUGGUCCCUACAGAGCAGCCGACCACAGGUCGACACUGGUGCGCCGGAAUAAUAAAUCAGUGACAGACUCAGUCAGAUGGAGCGACCUGGAGAAAUGGGCCAUAAUGGGGAUGGAGGUUGUGCUGAGGAUCUGUGGUUGACGUGAAAGAGUUAAAUCUCUGCAGCACAAGGGACGUGGAGUCUCUGUAGAGUUCUAUUAAAGCUCUUAUGUAGAUAGGGAUCUCUCUCAGACAGUCCGUAAAACUCACUUGAUUUUGUCCUUAUUGUUCUCAAAAGAGUUCCAUUAAAUUUUUUAUAGAUGUAAUUACAGAUGUAUAAUGUCGAAAGUGUAUCUCUCCAAUGUCAUUUGUAAAAAAUGAAUUACAGUUAAUAAGGAUUCAUUAACAGAUUUGAUGAAUACAAUCUCUGUGAUUUAAGCAAUCAAA
Paralichthys olivaceus (Japanese flounder) is the source of this 614-nucleotide long non-coding RNA. RefSeq lists it as uncharacterized. NCBI's taxonomy places the organism in Eukaryota, Metazoa, Chordata, Actinopteri, Pleuronectiformes, Paralichthyidae. The record is from RefSeq and is a predicted model, not a curated record.